CCAAUAGCGUAUAUUAAAGUUGUUGCAGUUAAAAAGCUCGUAGUUGAACCUUGGGCCUGGCUGGCCGGUCCGCCUCACCGCGUGCACUGGUUCGGCCGGGCCUUUCCCUCUGGGGAAUCCCAUGCCCUUCACUGGGUGUGGCGAGGAACCAGGACUUUUACUGUGAAAAAAUUAGAGUGUUCAAAGCAGGCCUAUGCUCGAAUACAUUAGCAUGGAAUAAUAGAAUAGGACGUGUGGUUCUAUUUUGUUGGUUUCUAGGACCGCCGUAAUGAUUAAUAGGGACAGUCGGGGGCAUCAGUAUUCAAUUGUCAGAGGUGAAAUUCUUGGAUUUAUUGAAGACUAACUACUGCGAAAGCAUUUGCCAAGGAUGUUUUCAUUAAUCAGGAACGAAAGUUAGGGGAUCGAAGACGAUCAGAUACCGUCGUAGUCUUAACCAUAAACUAUGCCGACUAGGGAUCGGACGAUGUUAUUUUUUGACUCGUUCGGCACCUUACG
This 495-nucleotide ribosomal RNA is filed under the name uncultured Glomeromycotina. Its description in RNAcentral is "partial small subunit ribosomal RNA". It matches the Rfam family "Eukaryotic small subunit ribosomal RNA", at positions 591 to 1092 of the family's 1831-position model. Lineage: Eukaryota; Fungi; Glomeromycota. The record is from RNAcentral.